AUACUCAGCUGGCAGGGGAGAUUCCAUGAUCACGAAGGUGGUUUCCCCAGGGUGAGGCUUAUCCAUUGAGCUCCAGAUAGGCUGACCCCUGCAAUUUCCUCAAAUGUGGGAAACUCAAGUGCAUACUUUUUGGUAGUGGGGGAUUGCAUUCGUGCUCUCCCCUG
Molecule: small nuclear RNA, 164 nt
Organism: Suncus etruscus (white-toothed pygmy shrew)
Lineage: Eukaryota; Metazoa; Chordata; Mammalia; Eulipotyphla; Soricidae
Product: U1 spliceosomal RNA
Exons: 1
Source: RefSeq, a predicted model, not a curated record